This 119-nucleotide ribosomal RNA is filed under the name Pteropus alecto (black flying fox). Lineage: Eukaryota; Metazoa; Chordata; Mammalia; Chiroptera; Pteropodidae. The record is from RNAcentral.
GUUUAUGGCCAUGCCACCCUGAACAAGCCCGAUCCCAUCUGAUCUCAGAAGCUAAGCAGGGUUGGGCCUGGUUAGUACUUGGAUGGGAGACCACCUAGGAAGACCAGGUGCUGUAGGCU